Molecule: non-coding RNA, 1723 nt
Organism: Epinephelus lanceolatus (giant grouper)
Lineage: Eukaryota; Metazoa; Chordata; Actinopteri; Perciformes; Serranidae
Source: RefSeq, a predicted model, not a curated record
AGGAAAUCCAAGACAGGAUACGCAUUAUUGAGCUCUACGCAAAGGACCGGCAGUUUGCAGACUUUGUACGGCAUCAUCAAGCCGUUGUGGAUACCCGCAGAGAGAGCUCCUCGGUGCACACAUGAAGCUCUACUGUAAACAAGAAACUUGCCUCUCUGUUAAAAACUGAAUCUCCCUGUCAAGACUCUCCACUUUCUUCAUCAUGGCACUGUGCGCUCAUGGACUGUUUGAGAUGGACUGUCAUUCAGCACGCUGCUCUUUACUUUCCUGACCAACGACCUCGCUCUGUCUGUCUCUCUGCGUACGUCCCUGAAGUGUUGACUCUUCUUCUUCCUUCUUUUGUGCCUUCUCUUGACUGGGUGAGCUGGUUGUGACAUCGAGUGUUUGCUGCUCAUCUGCUGGACAUCUCCUUUCAUGGGAAAACUGGACUGCAUCCUAUUACUUGAAAUGUUCAUCACAAUUCUGUCUACGCUAGUACUGUUGUUUAGUCAAAUAUCGAGUUUUGUGUCAUCAUGUCAUAACUAUCCAUUCUUUUAAAGGGAAGAACUUAAAACUGUGAAUAUGUAUAUAGUGUUGCCGUUGGUAUGUUUGCUAGUUAAAGGGGACCUAUCAUGCUUUUCUGUAUUUUCUAUAUAUUUGUAGAAUGUCAGAUGUUCAUGUUAAACGUGGCCAAAGUUUUAAAUAAUGAGGUAAUUAUAUAAAAUAAUCCCUGUAUGCAAAAACUUAAGGCAUGAGAUCGUUAGCCUGGGACAGAUUUUGUUAUAUGGUCAUCUGCUCCAGCCACACUACGGCAAGUGUUUACAUUACAUACACUGCUACAUGAAGCUACAUGCUAACAUCAGGGAAACAUGUAAUCUUUGAUAGCGAUGUUGUCAAUUCGUCCCUGAUUUUGGAUCAUAUUUCUGUUGAAACAUGACUGGUUGUGAAAAUUUUGGUUUAGAAGCAUUUAUUGGUGGUUUUUCACAGGAUUUUUUACGGCUGCAAGUACACUGCUACAUGUAGCUACCUGCUAACACCGGGAAACAUGUAAUCUUGGCUGCAGGUAUCUUUAAUUUCUUCCCAAUUUAAGAUCAAAUCCCUGCUCAAACAUGUCCAGUUGUGUUUAAAAGCUCUAACUGGUGAUUUUUCAUUGGAGAAAGUGGCGUCAUACAUGGUCAUUCCCUAGCUGCAAGUACACUGCUACGAGUAGCAAUAUGCUAAUGUCAGGGAAACCUGUAAUCUUGAUUGUUAAUGUUAUUAAUUUGUCCCUGAUUUGGAUCAUGUUUCUGCUGGAACAUGUCUGGUUGGUUAUUCACUGUUACAGUCAUUCUCCUGGCUGCAGAGAUGCUGAGAUACAGUAGACCAGAUUACGCUGACCAAUCAGAACAGACUGGGCUUUUUUAGGAGGGUGUCGUAAACAGACAGGCGCUAAAUGUUUCAAAAAGAUGGGGUGAAUACAGGUAUUCCAGUACAGACAGUAUGAGGAAUGUUUUCUUUUACAUUAAAGCAUGUAAAUAUGUUCCACUAGACACCCAAAAUACAAGUAUGGACCUGAAAAUGAGCAUGACAGGUCCCCUUUUAUGCCCAGUUCAGACCACAGAUUCGUGCUGAGACGAGUUGAAACAGGCAACUACCUGCCGGUUCACACCAAUGCAACUACAUGAAAUGGUGUAUCAUCUAACUGCAACAACUCUCUGUACUUAUGUUCUGAUUUCCAGCUUUUCAGGCUUAUUUUGUGGCUGAA